CCUACGGGCGGCUGCAGUCGGGAAUAUUGCGCAAUGGAGGAAACUCUGACGCAGUGACGCCGCGUGCAGGAAGAAGGUUUUCGGAUUGUAAACUGCUUUAGACAGGGACGAAAAAAGACAGUAUCUGUAGAAUAAGCUCCGGCUAACUACGUGCCAGCAGCCGCGGUAAUACGUAGGGAGCAAGCGUUAUCCGGAUUUAUUGGGUGUAAAGGGUGCGUAGACGGAGAAGCAAGUUAGUUGUGAAAUCCCUGGGCUUAACUGAGGAACUGCAACUAAAACUACUUUCCUUGAGUACUGGAGAGGAAAGUGGAAUUCCUAGUGUAGCGGUGAAAUGCGUAGAUAUUAGGAGGAACACCAGUGGCGAAGGCGACUUUCUGGACAGUAACUGACGUUGAGGCACGAAAGUGUGGGGAGCAAACAGGAUUAGAUACCCGAGUAGUC
RNAcentral lists this ribosomal RNA (441 nucleotides) under uncultured bacterium. RNAcentral describes it as "partial 16S ribosomal RNA". It matches the Rfam family "Bacterial small subunit ribosomal RNA", at positions 338 to 795 of the family's 1533-position model. The record is from RNAcentral.